CAGGAUGCACCGUAGUUUACUACACCGUAUUCUGUGAGUUGCGAACGGGUGAGUAACGCGUAGGUAACCUGCCUGGUAGCGGGGGAUAACUAUUGGAAACGAUAGCUAAUACCGCAUAAGAACAUUUACUGCAUGGUAGAUGUUUAAAAGGUGCAAAUGCAUCACUACCAGAUGGACCUGCGUUGUAUUAGCUAGUAGGUGAGGUAACGGCUCACCUAGGCGACGAUACAUAGCCGACACUGAGAGGGUGAUCGGCCACACUGGGACUGAGACACGGCCCAGACUCCUACGGGAGGCAGCAGUAGGGAAUCUUCGGCAAUGGGGGGAACCCUGACCGAGCAACGCCGCGUGAGUGAAGAAGGUUUUCGGAUCGUAAAGCUCUGUUGUUAAGGAAGAACGAGUGUGAGAAUGGAAAGUUCAUACUGUGACGGUACUUAACCAGAAAGGGACGGCUAACUACGUGCCAGCAGCCGCGGUAAUACGUAGAUCCCGAGCGUGGUCCGGAUUUAUUGGGCGUAAAGCGAGCGCAGGCGGUUAGAUAAGUCUGAAGAUAAAGGCAGCGGCUCAACCAUAGUAGCUUUGGAAACUGUUUAACUUGAGUGCAGAAGGGGAGAGUGGAAUUCCAUGUGUAGCGGUGAAAUGCGUAGAUAUAUGGAGGAACACCGGUGGCGAAAGCGCUCUCUGGUCUGUAACUGACGCUGAGGCUCGAAAGCGUGGGGAGCGAACAGGAUUAGAUACCCUGGUAGUCCACGCCGUAAACGAUGAGUGCUAGGUGUUUGGUCCUUUCCGGGACUUAGUGCCGCAGCUAACGCAUUAAAGCACUCCGCCUGGGGAGUACGACCGCAAGGUUGAAACUCAAAGAGUUGACCGGGGCCCGCACAAGCAGUGGAGCCUGUGGUUUAAUUCGAAGCAACGCGAAGAACCUACCAUGUCUGACUCCCGAUGCCCGGUCUAG
Molecule: ribosomal RNA, 955 nt
Filed under: Streptococcus intermedius
Lineage: Bacteria; Bacillati; Bacillota; Bacilli; Lactobacillales; Streptococcaceae
Description: bacterial SSU rRNA
Rfam family: Bacterial small subunit ribosomal RNA
Source: RNAcentral